AUGAACGCUGGCGGCGUGCCUAAUACAUGCAAGUCGAGCGCACAGACGAGGAGCUUGCUCCUCUGACGUUAGCGGCGGACGGGUGAGUAACACGUGGAUAACCUACCUAUAAGACUGGGAUAACUUCGGGAAACCGGAGCUAAUACCGGAUAAUAUAUUGAACCGCAUGGUUCAAUAGUGAAAGACGGUUUUGCUGUCACUUAUAGAUGGAUCCGCGCCGCAUUAGCUAGUUGGUAAGGUAACGGCUUACCAAGGCAACGAUACGUAGCCGACCUGAGAGGGUGAUCGGCCACACUGGAACUGAGACACGGUCCAGACUCCUACGGGAGGCAGCAGUAGGGAAUCUUCCGCAAUGGGCGAAAGCCUGACGGAGCAACGCCGCGUGAGUGAUGAAGGUCUUCGGAUCGUAAAACUCUGUUAUUAGGGAAGAACAAAUGUGUAAGUAACUAUGCACGUCUUGACGGUACCUAAUCAGAAAGCCACGGCUAACUACGUG
Molecule: ribosomal RNA, 496 nt
Filed under: uncultured bacterium
Lineage: Bacteria
Description: partial 16S ribosomal RNA
Rfam family: Bacterial small subunit ribosomal RNA
Source: RNAcentral